GAGUUCAAUUCUGGCUCAGGAUUAACGUUGGCGGCAUGCUUAACACUUACAAGUCGGACAAGUGAGUAACGCGUAAGAACCUGCCCUUGGGAAAGGAACAACAGCUGGAAACGACUUCUAAUACCCUGUAGGCUGAGAAGCAAAAUGAAGAAUCCACUCGAGGAGGGGCUCACGUCUGAUUAGCUAGUUAAUGAGGCAAUAGCUUACCAAGGCGAUAAUUAGUAGCUAGUUCGAGAGGAUGAUCAGCCACAUUGGGACUGAGACACGGCUCAGACUCCUUCAGGAGGUAGUAGUAGGGAAUUUUUUGCAAUGGGUGAAAGUCUGACGGAGCAAUGUUGCGUGGAGGUAGAAGGCCCAUGAGUCGUGAACUUCUUUUCUCAGAGAAAAAGCAAUAACAGUAUGUAACAUCCCUAACAUGUAUCCAUCAUUAGAACAGGGUUACAGAUCAUUACC
Molecule: non-coding RNA, 453 nt
Organism: Gossypium hirsutum (cotton)
Lineage: Eukaryota; Viridiplantae; Streptophyta; Magnoliopsida; Malvales; Malvaceae
Source: Rfam